RNAcentral lists this ribosomal RNA (670 nucleotides) under uncultured bacterium. RNAcentral's name for it is "bacterial SSU rRNA". It matches the Rfam family "Bacterial small subunit ribosomal RNA", at positions 839 to 1500 of the family's 1533-position model. The record is from RNAcentral.
UUCCGUGCCGCAGCUAACGCAUUAAGUCGUCCGCCUGGGGAGUACGGCCGCAAGGUUGAAACUCAAAGGAAUUGACGGGGGCCCGCACAAGCGGUGGAGCAUGUGGUUCAAUUCGAUGCAGAGCGAAGAACCUUACCUGGGCUUGACAUGCGGGAAGUAGGAACCGGAAACGGGGACGACCUGUUAAGUCAGGAACCUGCACAGGUGGUGCAUGGCUGUCGUCAGCUCGUGNCCGUGAGGUGUUGGGUUAAGUCCCGCAACGAGCGCAACCCUCACUCUAUGUUGCCAUCGGGUAAUGCCGGGCACUCUUAGGGAACUGCCGGCGAAGAGCUGGAGGAAGGGGGGGAUGACGUCAAGUCCGUAUGCCCCUUAUGUNCCAGGGCUACACACAUGCUACAAUGGCCGAUACAGAGGGUUCCCAACCCGCGAGGGGGAGGCAAUCCCACAAAGUCGGUCUCAGUUCGGAUUGCAGGCUGCAACUCGCCUGCAUGAAGUCGGAAUCGCUAGUAAGCGCAGAUCAGCAGGCUGCGCUGAAUACGUUCCCGGGCCUUGUACACACCGCCCGUCACACCACGAAAGCCGGUUGUACCAGAAGUCGCUGAGCCAACCGCAAGGAUGCAGGCGCCGAAGGUAUGGUCGGUGAUUGGGGUGAAGUCGUAANCAAGGUACC